RNAcentral lists this transfer-messenger RNA (357 nucleotides) under Planctomycetaceae. RNAcentral's name for it is "JABISG01 sp018699955 Standard tmRNA". It matches the Rfam family "transfer-messenger RNA". Rfam says of the family: Bacterial tmRNA, also known as 10Sa RNA or SsrA, is named for its dual tRNA and mRNA-like properties. Its role is to liberate the mRNA from a stalled ribosome. The record is from RNAcentral. Lineage: Bacteria; Pseudomonadati; Planctomycetota; Planctomycetia; Planctomycetales. RNAcentral also lists the same sequence under 1 other name.
GGGGGCGAUUGGAUUCGACUGGGUCACCGCUUGGUUGAGGUGGCGUGCCGUGGUUGAUCAGUUGGCCACGUAAAAAGCUGAUCACAACUUAAUUGCCAAUAAGCAAUUCGCACUGGCUGCCUAAAUAGGUGGUCCCGGCCUAGGAAUCCCCGCCUGAGGAGUCCGACAGCCGGUCACAAAAUCGGGCUGGCACCGAAUCAACGUCCGCUCCGUUCGGUGUAAGACAAGUGGUGGACUAGCUGCGACCGGGCCUUGUUUGUUGAGCCUGCCGUAGCGAGAUCAAUCGACGAAAUACGCACGUAGAGGCUUCAGUCACGGAACCACAGGACGCGGGUUCGAUUCCCGCCGCCUCCACUC